CACUCCUUCGGGAGGCAGCAGUGGGGAAUAUUGGACAAUGGGCGCAAGCCUGAUCCAGCCAUGCCGCGUGAGUGAUGAAGGCCCUAGGGUUGUAAAGCUCUUUCACCGGUGAAGGUAAUGACGGUAACCGGAGAAGAAGCCCCGGCUAACUUCGUGCCAGCAGCCGCGGUAAUACGAAGGGGGCUAGCGUUGUUCGGAUUUACUGGGCGUAAAGCGCACGUAGGCGGACUAUUAAGUCAGGGGUGAAAUCCCGGGGCUCAACCCCGGAACUGCCGUUGAUACUGGUAGUCUUGAGUUCGAGAGAGGUGAGUGGAAUUCCGAGUGUAGAGGUGAAAUUCGUAGAUAUUCGGAGGAACACCAGUGGCGAAGGCGGCUCACUGGCUCGAUACUGACGCUGAGGUGCGAAAGCGUGGGGAGCAAACAGGAUUAGAAACCCGUGUAGUCCC
RNAcentral lists this ribosomal RNA (446 nucleotides) under uncultured organism. Its description in RNAcentral is "partial 16S ribosomal RNA". It matches the Rfam family "Bacterial small subunit ribosomal RNA", at positions 334 to 797 of the family's 1533-position model. The record is from RNAcentral.